This 253-nucleotide ribosomal RNA is filed under the name uncultured bacterium. RNAcentral's name for it is "partial 16S ribosomal RNA". It matches the Rfam family "Bacterial small subunit ribosomal RNA", at positions 524 to 776 of the family's 1533-position model. The record is from RNAcentral.
UACGUAGGUGGCAAGCGUUGUCCGGAAUUACUGGGUGUAAAGCGCGUGUAGGCGGCAGACCAAGUCGGCGGUGAAAGCGCCCGGCUCAACUGGGCGAGGUCCGUGGAAACUGGUCAGCUGGAGGACGGUAGAGGCGAGUGGAAUUCCCGGUGUAGUGGUGAAAUGCGUAGAGAUCGGGAGGAACACCUGUGGCGAAGGCGGCUCUCUGGGACGGUACUGACGCUGAGACGCGAAAGCGUGGGGAGCGAACAGG